Long non-coding RNA from Penaeus indicus, 690 nucleotides. RefSeq lists it as uncharacterized. Lineage: Eukaryota; Metazoa; Arthropoda; Malacostraca; Decapoda; Penaeidae. The record is from RefSeq and is a predicted model, not a curated record. The transcript is spliced from 4 exons.
ACCUCUGCCUAGGAUCAGCCACCGCUAGCCAUGAGCACUUCGCUAAAUUUGCUUUGUACUCUUAUUGUGCUAACGAGAGCGGGAUUCAAGAAACUCCUCCCCGAUGCAAAAUAAGAGAAAAAGGAGACGGAAGAAAGACAGAGGAAAAAAGAAGAAAUGAGUGACGAAAGACACGAAGAACUGACUGCUAUUUCCUUCUAACCACCAGACGAGAGAAAUGUUCCUUUGUGGGCCGUCAUGCUACGAAGUGAAAGGCUCGCACUGAAAUGUCACGCAAGGAAUUCUUAGCCAUUAGUCACAGAAAUCCAAAAUUCGCAAUACUUUUCAAGAAGCAUAACGUGCCAAGGACGGUCAGUCAACCACAGCGCCAACUUUCUCCCGACACACACAUACUUCCCCGCUCCGACGUCGAACACGCGAGUAGCGAAGGAGAAUCUUACAUCCACGACGCUAAUAAGAUCCUCAUCUCCGGGUGUUGGAGGAGGACAAUGGCGACGACAGCUCCUUCGGAUACGCCAGUCGGAUGCUGAAGCUGGGGAGAUGAAUCUGUAAAUGCUAAAUUACGCGGCAUGAUUUGACUGCAAGUGUGACUGAGAACAAAGGUACAGGCGGAAAGCACUUAAGAAUAUCAAGAUGAAAUUAACAUUAAACACUUUAUGUUAACACCGCAGCAGCACGCGAACAUGCAAA